GGUUGUAAAACACCAGAGGUACAUAUCCAAGCAUUUGUUAAGGGCCUCUAUUUGACCAUCGAUUUGGGAAUGGUAAAGGGUGCUAAUAAUGAGUUCAGUUUCCUGCAGUCGGUGGAGUUCUUACCAGAAGGUAUGCAUAAAACGAGGAUCUUUGUUUGUGACAAUAGUUGCAAGUAUGCCAGGAAGACGAAUGAUAUUCGAGACAAAUGCUAAUGUGACAGUUUCGCUAGUAAAAUUGCCAAGAAGAACGGUGAAAUGGUCGUACUUGGAGAGACGAUCAACAACAACCA
This 290-nucleotide long non-coding RNA is filed under the name Gossypium barbadense (sea-island cotton). Its description in RNAcentral is "long non-coding RNA (GBAR_LNC018655)". The record is from RNAcentral. Lineage: Eukaryota; Viridiplantae; Streptophyta; Magnoliopsida; Malvales; Malvaceae.